AUUGAACGCUGGCGGCGUGCUUAACACAUGCAAGUCGAUCGGUAACAGGUGUAGCAAUACAUGCUGACGAGAGGCGGACGGGUGAGUAAUGCUUGGGAAUCUGCCUAUUAGUGGGGGACAACCCGGGGAAACUCGGGCUAAUACCGCAUACGCUCUACGGAGGAAAGCCGGGGACCGCAAGGCCUGGCGCUAAUAGAUGAGCCCAAGUCGGAUUAGCUAGUUGGUAGGGUAACGGCCUACCAAGGCGACAAUCCGUAGCUGGUCUGAGAGGACGACCAGCCACACCGGAACUGAGACACGGUCCGGACUCCUACGGGAGGCAGCAGUGGGGAAUAUUGGACAAUGGGGGCAACCCUGAUCCAGCGACGCCGCGUGGGUGAAGAAGGCCUGCGGGUUGUAAAGCCCUUUCGGUGGGGAAGAAAAGUCUCGACCUAAUACGUCGGGACCUUGACGUAACCCACUAAAGAAGCACCGGCUAACUCUGUGCCAGCCGCCGCGGUAAC
Molecule: ribosomal RNA, 503 nt
Filed under: uncultured bacterium
Lineage: Bacteria
Description: bacterial SSU rRNA
Rfam family: Bacterial small subunit ribosomal RNA
Source: RNAcentral